Molecule: ribosomal RNA, 371 nt
Filed under: uncultured bacterium
Lineage: Bacteria
Description: bacterial SSU rRNA
Rfam family: Bacterial small subunit ribosomal RNA
Source: RNAcentral
GAAGGGUGCAAGCGUUACUCGGAAUUACUGGGCGUAAAGCGUGCGUAGGUGGUUUGUUAAGUCUGAUGUGAAAGCCCUGGGCUCAACCUGGGAAUUGCACUGGAUACUGGCAGGCUAGAGUGCGGUAGAGGAUGGCGGUAUUCCCGGUGUAGCAGUGAAAUGCGUAGAGAUCGGGAGGAACAUCUGUGGCGAAGGCGGCCAUCUGGACCAGCACUGACACUGAGGCACGAAAGCGUGGGGAGCAAACAGGAUUAGAUACCCUGGUAGUCCACGCCCUAAACGAUGCGAACUGGAUGUUGGGAGCAACUAGGCUCCCAGUAUCGAAGCUAACGCGUUAAGUUCGCCGCCUGGGGAGUACGGUCGCAAGACUG